GAUAUACUGUAUACCUGGGCUAAAUAGAAACCUGUAUCUCUUUACAACUGAAUACAGUAUAGAAUUCAAUGAAAAUGAAUUUCCCUGUUAAAUAUAAGUAAUGAAAUGUCAACUUACGGUUGGUAAACCAAGACGAUAUUUAAGAUGUGUCAAGAUUUACAUGACAUUUAGAAAGCCUGCCAACAAGAAAUACGCCAAAAACACAAGUCAACAAAAUUAGUUAUGAUUGAUUGAUCAUUGUUUAACGCUUUCUGUACUAUUCAAAAUAGCUAUUUCGCCAUUCAAUGAGAUAGACGUAGUGCCCGGAGUGUACCACGAACCUUAUCGAAUAAAACUGACUUUCAAUACUAGUCAAUUACGAUUGGAAACGAACACACCC
This 379-nucleotide long non-coding RNA is filed under the name Mytilus galloprovincialis (Mediterranean mussel). Lineage: Eukaryota; Metazoa; Mollusca; Bivalvia; Mytilida; Mytilidae. The record is from RNAcentral.